This 535-nucleotide ribosomal RNA is filed under the name uncultured bacterium. RNAcentral describes it as "partial 16S ribosomal RNA". It matches the Rfam family "Bacterial small subunit ribosomal RNA", at positions 355 to 874 of the family's 1533-position model. The record is from RNAcentral.
UGGGGAAUUUUGGACAAUGGGCGAAAGCCUGAUCCAGCAAUGCCGCGUGUGUGAAGAAGGCCUUCGGGUUGUAAAGCACUUUUUGUCCGGAAAGAAAUCCUUGGCUCUAAUACAGCCGGGGGGAUGACGGUACCGGAAGAAUAAGCACCGGGCUAACUACGUGCCAGCAGCCGCGGUAAUACGUAGGGUGCAAGCGUUAAUCGGAAUUACUGGGCGUAAAGCGUGCGCAGGCGGUUUGCUAAGACCGAUGUGAAAUCCCCGGGCUCAACCUGGGAACUGCAUUGGUGACUGGCAGGCUAGAGUAUGGCAGAGGGGGGUUAGAAUUCCACGUGUAGCAGUGAAAUGCGUAGAGAUGUGGAGGAAUACCGAUGGCGAAGGCAGCCCCCUGGGCCAAUACUGACGCUCAUGCACGAAAGCGUGGGGAGCAAACAGGAUUAGAUACCCUGGGUAGUCCACGCCCCUAAACGAUGUCAACUAGUUGUUGGGGGACUUCAUUUUCCUUAGUAACGUAGCUAACGCGUGAAGUUGACCGCCU